Molecule: ribosomal RNA, 448 nt
Filed under: uncultured bacterium
Lineage: Bacteria
Description: SSU rRNA
Rfam family: Bacterial small subunit ribosomal RNA
Source: RNAcentral
AGGAUGAACGCUGGCGGCGUGCCUAAAACAUGCAAGUCAUACGGGCUACCUUCGGGUAGCCAGUGGCAAACGGGUGAGUAACACGUGGGAACGCGCCUUGGGUGGGAAUAACGCUGAGAAAUCAGUGCUAAUACCGCAUAUGGUCUAACGACUAAAGCAGCAAUGCGCCCCGAGAGCGGCCCGCGACCGAUUAGCUAGUUGGUGGGGUAAUGGCCUACCAAGGCGGUGAUCGGUAGCUGGUCUGAGAGGAUGGUCAGCCACACUGGGACUGCGAACGGCCCAGACUCCUACGGGAGGCAGCAGUUAGGAAUUUUUCGGCAAUGGACGAAAGUCUGACCGAGCGACGCCGCGUGGAGGAUGACGCCUUUCGGGGUGUAAACUCCUUUCUGCGGGAAGAUAAUGACGUACCGCAGGAAUAAGCACCGGCUAACUACGUGCCAGCAGCCGC